This 305-nucleotide ribosomal RNA is filed under the name uncultured bacterium. RNAcentral's name for it is "bacterial SSU rRNA". It matches the Rfam family "Bacterial small subunit ribosomal RNA", at positions 335 to 636 of the family's 1533-position model. The record is from RNAcentral.
ACAUCCUACGGGAGGCAGCAGUGAGGAAUAUUGGUCAAUGGCCGAGAGGCUGAACCAGCCAAGUCGCGUGAGGGAAGACUGCCCUAUGGGUUGUAAACCUCUCUUGUCAGGGAGCAACGCCGGCUACGUGUAGCCGGACUGAGAGUACCUGAAGAAAAAGCAUCGGCUAACUCCGUGCCAGCAGCCGCGGUAAUACGGAGGAUGCGGGCGUUAUCCGGAUUUAUUGGGUUUAAAGGGUGCGUAGGCGGAAUGCCAAGUCAGCGGUAAAAUCGCGGGGCUCAACCUCGCUCCGCCGUUGAAACUGG